GGGAUAACAUUUGGAAACAGAUGCUAAUACCGCAUAGAUCCAAGAACCGCAUGGUUCUUGGCUGAAAGAUGGCGUAAGCUAUCGCGUUUGGAUGGACCCGCGGCGUAUUAGCUAGUUGGUGAGGUAAUGGCUCACCAAGGCGAUGAUACGUAGCCGAACUGAGAGGUUGAUCGGCCACAUUGGGACUGAGACACGGCCCAAACUCCUACGGGAGGCAGCAGUAGGGAAUCUUCCACAAUGGACGCAAGUCUGAUGGAGCAACGCCGCGUGAGUGAAGAAGGCUUUCGGGUCGUAAAACUCUGUUGUUGGAGAAGAAUGGUCGGCAGAGUAACUGUUGUCGGCGUGACGGUAUCCAACCAGAAAGCCACGGCUAACUACGCGCCAGCAGCCGCGGUAAUACGUAGGUGGCAAGCGUUAUCCGGAUUUAUUGGGCGUAAAGCGAGCGCAGGCGGUUUUUUAAGUCUGAUGUGAAAGCCCUCGGCUUAACCGAGGAAGCGCAUCGGAAACUGGGAAACUUGAGUGCAGAAGAGGACAGUGGAACUCCAUGUGUAGCGGUGAAAUGCGUAGAUAUAUGGAAGAACACCAGUGGCGAAGGCGGCUGUCUGGUCUGUAACUGACGCUGAGGCUCGAAAGCAUGGGUAGCGAACAGGAUUAGAUACCCUGGUAGUCCAUGCCGUAAGCGAUGAA
Molecule: ribosomal RNA, 687 nt
Filed under: uncultured bacterium
Lineage: Bacteria
Description: bacterial SSU rRNA
Rfam family: Bacterial small subunit ribosomal RNA
Source: RNAcentral